This 1000-nucleotide ribosomal RNA is filed under the name Microbacterium lacticum. Its description in RNAcentral is "bacterial SSU rRNA". It matches the Rfam family "Bacterial small subunit ribosomal RNA", at positions 28 to 1040 of the family's 1533-position model. Lineage: Bacteria; Bacillati; Actinomycetota; Actinomycetes; Micrococcales; Microbacteriaceae. The record is from RNAcentral.
GAUGAACGCUGGCGGCGUGCUUAACACAUGCAAGUCGAACGGUGAAAGAGAGCUUGCUCUCUGGAUCAGUGGCGAACGGGUGAGUAACACGUGAGCAAUCUGCCCNUGACUCUGGGAUAAGCGCUGGAAACGGCGUCUAAUACCGGAUACGAGCUGCGAAGGCAUCUUCAGCAGCUGGAAAGAACUUCGGUCAGGGAUGAGCUCGCGGCCUAUCAGCUAGUUGGUGAGGUAAUGGCUCACCAAGGCGUCGACGGGUAGCCGGCCUGAGAGGGUGACCGGCCACACUGGGACUGAGACACGGCCCAGACUCCUACGGGAGGCAGCAGUGGGGAAUAUUGCACAAUGGGCGCAAGCCUGAUGCAGCAACGCCGCGUGAGGGACGACGGCCUUCGGGUUGUAAACCUCUUUUAGCAGGGAAGAAGCGAAAGUGACGGUACCUGCAGAAAAAGCACCGGCUAACUACGUGCCAGCAGCCGCGGUAAUACGUAGGGUGCAAGCGUUAUCCGGAAUUAUUGGGCGUAAAGAGCUCGUAGGCGGUUUGUCGCGUCUGCUGUGAAAACUGGGGGCUCAACCCCCAGCCUGCAGUGGGUACGGGCAGACUAGAGUGCGGUAGGGGAGAUUGGAAUUCCUGGUGUAGCGGUGGAAUGCGCAGAUAUCAGGAGGAACACCGAUGGCGAAGGCAGAUCUCUGGGCCGUAACUGACGCUGAGGAGCGAAAGGGUGGGGAGCAAACAGGCUUAGAUACCCUGGUAGUCCACCCCGUAAACGUUGGGAACUAGUUGUGGGGUCCAUUCCACGGAUUCCGUGACGCAGCUAACGCAUUAAGUUCCCCGCCUGGGGAGUACGGCCGCAAGGCUAAAACUCAAAGGAAUUGACGGGGACCCGCACAAGCGGCGGAGCAUGCGGAUUAAUUCGAUGCAACGCGAAGAACCUUACCAAGGCUUGACAUAUACGAGAACGGGCCAGAAAUGGUCAACUCUUUGGACACUCGUAAACAGGUG